Molecule: long non-coding RNA, 679 nt
Organism: Corticium candelabrum
Lineage: Eukaryota; Metazoa; Porifera; Homoscleromorpha; Homosclerophorida; Plakinidae
Exons: 3
Source: RefSeq, a predicted model, not a curated record
UCUGGUCUAGUGUGGACAGGGCUUUAUUAACAAACUUUAGUGAACUGUGAUAGUAGUUGUAUAAAACUGAUAGAUUCAAUGCUUGUCUUGACUUGUGGAUCUGCUGUUACAGGAACAAUGAACCUGAAGGAGAUUCUGAUGAGUCAGAAGUGGAGGCAGAUGGAGAAGAAGCUGAAGAUGAAAGCAGUGGAGAAUCUGCUGAAGUUGAAGAAGGCUCAGAAGAGGCAGAUAGUGACGAAGAAGGGAGAGAGGAAGAGGAGGAAGAAGGUAGUGAUUAUGACGAAGAAGAAGAAGAAGAAGCAGGUCUAGCGUAUCUACAGAAAAGUAACUUAGAGGACGACGAAGAAGGGCCGGCAUUCAACCCUGCCGGAGAAGAUGGUGAAUCAGAGGACAUAGAAGACGAUGCCGACGAGGAAGUGGUUGAACUUCUUGGUGGCGAGCAGGCGACGAGAGGAAAGAAGAGAAAGAGAGACGUUGAAGAUGUAGGAGACAGGGAGAGAUGAAGGGGUGAAAGAUAGAUGAUGCGUGAACUGUUUGUUAGUUGGUUGAUACGUUCUUUUGCUGUUCCACUACGUGGGGUACUUGUGAAUAUCAGCGACGCCGGAGUGUUUGUUCUAGCGCGGGUGUUGUGCGUGCAUAGACAUAGAUACAACAGUAGAUUGAAUGUGAAAGCCUGCAA